This 512-nucleotide ribosomal RNA is filed under the name uncultured bacterium. RNAcentral describes it as "bacterial SSU rRNA". It matches the Rfam family "Bacterial small subunit ribosomal RNA", at positions 34 to 507 of the family's 1533-position model. The record is from RNAcentral.
CGCUGGCGGCGUGCCUAAUACAUGCAAGUCGAACGCACUCUCGUUUAGAUUGAAGGAGCUUGCUCCUGAUUGAUAAACAUUUGAGUGAGUGGCGGACGGGUGAGUAACACGUGGGUAACCUGCCCUAAGUGGGGGAUAACAUUUGGAAACAGAUGCUAAUACCGCAUAAAACCUAACACCGCAUGGUGUAGGGUUGAAAGAUGGUUUCGGCUAUCACUUUAGGAUGGACCCGCGGUGCAUUAGUUAGUUGGUGAGGUAAAGGCUCACCAAGACCGUGAUGCAUAGCCGACCUGAGAGGGUAAUCGGCCACACUGGGACUGAGACACGGCCCAGACUCCUACGGGAGGCAGCAGUAGGGAAUCUUCCACAAUGGACGAAAGUCUGAUGGAGCAACGCCGCGUGAGUGAAGAAGGUUUUCGGAUCGUAAACUCUGUUGUUGGAGAAGAAUGUAUCUGAUAGUAACUGAUCAGGUAGUGACGGUAUCCAACCAGAAAGCCACGGCUAACUACGUG